CUACGGGUUGCUCCAGUGAGGAAUAUUGGUCAAUGGCCGAGAGGCUGAACCAGCCAUCCCGCGUGCAGGAUGACGGCCCUAUGGGUUGUAAACUGCUUUUCUACGCCAAGAAAUCUGAUUACGUGUAAUUAGUUGACGGUAGCGUAGGAAUAAGCAUCGGCUAACUCCGUGCCAGCAGCCGCGGUAAUACGGAGGAUGCAAGCGUUAUCCGGAUUCAUUGGGUUUAAAGGGUGCGCAGGCGGGCUUGUAAGUCAGUGGUGAAAUACUGCCGCUUAACGGUAGAACUGCCAUUGAUACUGCAAGUCUUGAAUAUGGUUGUGGUAGGCGGAAUGUGUUGUGUAGCGGUGAAAUGCAUAGAUAUGACACAGAACGCCGAUUGCGAAGGCAGCUUACUAAGCCAUUAUUGACGCUGAGGCACGAAAGCGUGGGGAGCGAACAGGAUUAGAUACCCUUGUAGUC
Molecule: ribosomal RNA, 459 nt
Filed under: uncultured bacterium
Lineage: Bacteria
Description: partial 16S ribosomal RNA
Rfam family: Bacterial small subunit ribosomal RNA
Source: RNAcentral